GUGGAUUAGAUACCCUGGUAGUCCACGCCGUAAACGAUGUUCACUCGCUGUAUGCAAUACACCGUAUGCGGCCAAGCGAAAGUAUUAAGUGAACCACCUGGGGAGUACGUCGGCAACGGUGAAACUCAAAGGAAUUGACGGGGGCCCGCACAAGCGGAGGAACAUGUGGUUUAAUUCGAUGAUACGCGAGGAACCUUACCUGGGCUUAAAUGUAGGUUGCAUGAGGUGGAAACACUUCUUCCCUUCGGGGCUACUUACAAGGUGCUGCACGGCUGUCGCCAGCU
Molecule: ribosomal RNA, 284 nt
Filed under: uncultured bacterium
Lineage: Bacteria
Description: partial 16S ribosomal RNA
Rfam family: Bacterial small subunit ribosomal RNA
Source: RNAcentral